UGCAGGAAGGUAUGUGAACCUGAAAAUGUGAGACUUUCUCAGUUAAUUGAGAAAGUUGAUUUUGCCAGGGUUGAGGGUGCGCACUGUGACACAGCCUCAGAGGUCCUGACGACAUGUGCCCAAGGUAGUCGGGGCACAGCUUUGUUUUAUACAUUUUAGGGAGACAUGAGACAUCAGUCAAUAUGUGUAAGAUGUACAUUGGUUCAGUCCAGAAAGGUGGGACAACCGGAGGCAAAGGCCAGGCAACUCGAGGUGGGGAGAGGCUUUUGGGUCAUAGGUAGGUAAGAGACAAAUGGUUGGAUUUUUUUGAGUCUCUGAUGAGCCUCUUCAAAUGAAGCAAUCAGAUAUGCAUCUAUCUCAGUGAGCAGAGGGGUGACUUUGAAUAGAAUAGGAGGCAGGUUUGCCUUAAGCAGUUCCCAGCUUGACUUUUCCCUUUAGCUUAGUGAUUUGGGGCCCCCAGAUUUAUUUUCCUCUCACAGUUACAUCAUACUUCUCUCAAAGCAACCUCUGUUUCCCAGUCCUCUUUAGCCCUAGAUGCAUUUUUCAUCUCCUCCCUUUUUUGGAACAAGAAGAGGAAUCCUGUGUACAGAGGCCCUUAUAUCUUGGAUACCAACAAUCCCUGCUUCUAUGCAGAACGCACUUAAAAAGCAUGUGGAUUCUGGCAUGUGUUCUAAAUGGCUCAUUAAUCAUGCACUUUCUUAAGAAGGAUUCUAAAGAGUUCAAAUUUGCUGGGGAGCAUUCUCCGUCUCCCCUCAGGUGGACUAGCAAGUACAGAGUCUUCAGUUCUUUCAUCUAUUUAUAGCUCAGAGAAGCCACCCGGAUGGGGAUGAUGAGGAUGUGUGAUUCCUAAGGAGAAAUCACUCAAAUUCAUGAAGAUUCUCCCUCUGCCUUUAUAAUGUAGGCACAUCGUUAAAUGCACUUUGUUGAAGCUAUGCUAAAAUGUUGGACAUUUCACUGGAUAAACAAAACAAUAAAAACAGUCAAGAUGGUUUUCUAGUUAUGAGACUCUGAAUACUCUACUUGAAUUUAGCAGGGUUUAGGUAUAUGUGGAUGUUGUUGCUUCCUUCCUCCUCCCUCACUUCCUUCCUCAUUUUCUCUGUCUGUAUCUUUGUAAUGAGGCCAUGCAUGUUACUGGGAAAUAUAGUAGAUUUGGAGGCAGGCUUGGGUUCCCAUCCAAGGUCCAUCACUCACAAUUGUGUGACCCCCACACACAUUAUGUGACUGUUCUGGCUCUUAGUAAUUGAAGGAUAACAAUAAAGUAGAGAAAAAUUGUAUAAGAUUAUAUAUAAAUGGAUAAGAUUAUAUAUAAAUUGUAUAAGAUAAUAUAUAAAUGGAUAGAUGGAUGAUGAAUGGAUGGAUCGAUGGAUAAAUGGAUGUAUAAAUAGAUGGAUGGAUGAAUAGAUGGAUGAAUGGAUAAAUAGACGGAUGGAUGGAUAAAUGGAUGGAUGGAUGGAUGGAUAGAUGAAUGAAUGAAUAGAUGGAUGAAUGGAUAGAUAGCUAGAUGGAUAGUUGGAUGGAUGGAUGGAUAGGUAGAUAGAUGAUAGAUGAAUAGAGUCUACAGGACAGUGUAUAAUAGAUCACAGACUUUUUUCAUUCUUUUUUUGUUUUUUUCUUUUUUAGUGAUGAAGUCUCACUCUGUCACCCAAGCUGGAGUGCACUGGUGUGAUCAUAGCUCAUUGCAGCCUGGAACUCUUGGGCUCAAGCAGAUAUUAGAACACAGGGAAUGAGUUGACCAGUGACCCAGCUGCUGCACUCAGAAAUCUACCAACCACCAUGUUUCCAUGGAGGCCAAGCUUUCCCCACUGCUCCCAGGGAGUGAUUGAGCGUGGCAGGAUUCUCAGGCAAGCCCACUCCUGGGAAAUGCACCACUCCUGUCAUGGGCGCCCCAUCAGCUUUGCAGAAACUUUUGCAGAACCUUGUUCAAAGUCUUUCCCUUCUUCACUGGUGCUAGACUUGCACUGAGGUCUGAUGACUGUCCUGGACUUUGCUGGCUCCCUUCCCAUUUUCUGUAGCAGAAUUUUCCCUAAUAAAUCACUUGCACUCUU
This 2045-nucleotide long non-coding RNA is filed under the name Homo sapiens (human). RNAcentral describes it as "HSALNT0123222". Lineage: Eukaryota; Metazoa; Chordata; Mammalia; Primates; Hominidae. The record is from RNAcentral.